RNAcentral lists this long non-coding RNA (974 nucleotides) under Heterocephalus glaber (naked mole-rat). Its description in RNAcentral is "lncRNA (ENSHGLG00100035185.1)". Lineage: Eukaryota; Metazoa; Chordata; Mammalia; Rodentia; Bathyergidae. The record is from RNAcentral.
CGGGACCUGGGUUCUCUGUGACGUCCUGGCCUUCAGCUAAGGAGCAUGUUGGCAUGGGAUGUGGGAAAUGGCAAGACCCCAGAAAUGGACAGAUAGAAGGAAAGACGGCUGCUAAGCAGACAUUAUGCUACACAGAGUCCAGGCCAGCCCAUGUCGCAGAGCGGUUACUUACAUUAAGAAAGGAUUCUGUGUCAAGUGUUUGAGUUAAUUUCUACCUCUUAGGAUCGAGGGAAGUAGGGUUUAAUAUUUCCAUGUAGGGAGAGGAACACCCAGGCUCAGGGAAGUAACUGACCUACUCUCGCGUGGUUCCAGAGGUGGAUUUUCGGACACCAAAGUCGUUCUCCCACCCUGAAGGUCCCAUUCAAGCCAGAGCCGGAGUGUAAGGUCAUGGAUUCUCCCACUCGCUUGCCCUAGGGGUUAAAUUGUACACUGCCCCUGUUAAGGCAUAUCCAGGACUUUAAAGGUCUCCCUGUUGGCCAACACUAACCUGGGAUGGUGAAGUCAGGAUAAUGAAUUCCCUUCACUUACCCUUCAGAAGCACGUUUUAUUCAGCAGUUUCAGAAGUGAAUCCCACUGAACCUUACUGGUUGGAGAAUUCUAUUGUUUCAAAACUUCUCUAAAGAGCAUAGAGAAGGAGAAACUCUUCUAUAUUAUUCCGGUAAUUUGUAUAUCAAUGAUAACCAGAUACAAUCACCAUAAUCUAAGGAAAUCUCAGUGAAAUAUUUUGCGCUUUCCAGGCCCCCUUUUCUCUCAGUACUGUAUAGUGAGAAGAAUUCUAGCUUUUAAACUGGCAUGGUGGUACAUGCCUGUAAUCCCAGGAUGCUGGGAGGUUGAAGCAGGAGGAUCAGAAGUUCAAGCCCUCCUUAGUUAACAACUUAGUGAGAUUCUGUCCCAAAAUAUAAAAUAAAACAGGAUGGGAAUAUAGUUCAGGGUAGAGGCUCUCAUUUCAGUCUCCAGUAACACACACACACACA